RNAcentral lists this ribosomal RNA (1097 nucleotides) under uncultured archaeon. Its description in RNAcentral is "partial 16S ribosomal RNA". The stretch from base 116 to 1097 matches the Rfam family "Archaeal small subunit ribosomal RNA". The record is from RNAcentral.
GGGCAAAAAAAUUUUUUUUUUUGGGGGGUUUUUCCCCAGCCCCCCCCGCCCCGCCGGGGAUAAAAAAAACCCCCCGCCACCCCCUUCACAAAGGUUGGUUUUCAGGGGAUUGGAUUUUUUUUUGGGGCCUAAAAAAGCCAUUCCCGUUUGCCCCGGGUUUAUUGUUUUGUUUUUUCGGUUUUAAAUUCCCAUGUGGUUCAACCACCAUGGGCUGGUUGAAAUUACCGCCAUAGGCUAGGGGAGGGGGGAGAAGUUGGACGGUAAUUCUGUAGGAAAGGGGUAAAAUCCUUUGAUCUAUAGAUGACCACCAGUGGCCGAAGGCGGUCUACCAGAACAUUUCCGACGGUGAGGAAUGAAAGCUGGGGGAGCAAACCGGAUUAGAUACCCGGGUAGUCCCAGCUGUAAACGAUGCAAACUCAGUGAUGCAUUGGCUUGUGGCCAGUGCAGUGCCGCAGAGAAGUCGUUAAGUUUGCCGCCUGGGAAGUACGUACGCAAGUAUGAAACUUAAAGGAAUUGGCGGGGGAGCACCACAAGGGGUGAAGCCUGCGGUUCAAUUGGAGUCAACGCCAGAAAUCUUACCCGGAGAGACAGCAGAAUGAAGGUCAAGCUGAAGACUUUACCAGACAAGCUGAGAAGUGGUGCAUGGCCGUCGCCAGCUCGUGCCGUGAGGUGUCCUGUUAAGUCAGGUAACGAGCGAGAUCCCUACCUCUAGUUGCCACCAUUACUCUCAGGAGUAGUGGGGCGAAUUAGCGGGACUGCCGCAGUUAAUGCGGAGGAAGGAGGGGGCCACGGCAGGUCAGUAUGCCCUGAAACUCUGGGGCCACACGCGGGCUGCAAUGGUAGUUACAGUGAGUUCCGAAUCCGAGAGGAGGAGGUAAUCUUCAAACGCUACCACAGUUAUGAUUGAGGGCUGUAACUCGCCCUCAUGAAUAUGGAAUCCCUAGUAACUGCGUGUCAUUACCGCGCGGUGAAUACGUCCCUGCUCCUUGCACACACCGCCCGUCGUUUCAUUGAAGUUUGCUUUUAGUGAGGUGACGUCUUCUUGGCGUUAUCGAACUUGAGGUAAGCGACAAGGGAAAAGUCGUAACAAGGUAACC